AGGACGAACGCUGGCGGCGUGCUUAACACAUGCAAGUCGAGCGAGGCCCUUCCUUCGGGGAGGUGCCCUAGCGGCGAACGGGUGAGUAACACGUGGGCAACCUGCCCCUAGCACUGGGAUAACUCCGGGAAACCGGGGCUAAUACCGGAUAUGACCUUCUUGGGCAUCCUCGAAGGUGUAAAGGAUUCUGGCUAGGGAUGGGCCCGCGGCCUAUCAGCUUGUUGGUGGGGUAAUGGCCUACCAAGGCGACGACGGGUAGCCGGCCUGAGAGGGUGACCGGCCACACUGGGACUGAGACACGGCCCAGACUCCUACGGGAGGCAGCAGUGGGAAUCUUGCACAAUGGGCGAAAGCCUGAUGCAGCGACGCCGCGUGAGGGAUGACUGCCUUCGGGUUGUAAACCUCUUUCAGCAGGGACGAAGCGAAAGUGACGGUACCUGCAGAAGAAGCACCGGCCAACUACGUGCCAGCAGCCGC
This 477-nucleotide ribosomal RNA is filed under the name uncultured bacterium. RNAcentral describes it as "SSU rRNA". It matches the Rfam family "Bacterial small subunit ribosomal RNA", at positions 26 to 518 of the family's 1533-position model. The record is from RNAcentral.